Molecule: ribosomal RNA, 467 nt
Filed under: uncultured bacterium
Lineage: Bacteria
Description: bacterial SSU rRNA
Rfam family: Bacterial small subunit ribosomal RNA
Source: RNAcentral
AGCCAGACUCCUACGGGAGGCAGCAGUGAGGAAUAUUGGUCAAUGGCCGGAAGGCUGAACCAGCCAAGCCGCGUGAGGGAGGAAGGCGCAGAGCGUCGCAGACCUCUUUUGCCGGGGGACAAAAGGCCGGACUCGUCCGGUCCUGAGGGUACCCGGAGAAAAAGCAUCGGCUAACUCCGUGCCAGCAGCCGCGGUAAUACGUAGGGGGCGAGCGUUAUCCGGAAUUACUGGGUGUAAAGGGAGCGUAGACGGCGAAGUAAGCCUGAAGUGGAAGCCCGCGGCCCAACCGCGGAACUGCUUUGGGAACUGUUUUGCUGGAGUAUGGGAGGGGUAAGCGGAAUUCCUGGUGUAGCGGUGAAAUGCGUAGAUAUCAGGAGGAACACCGGUGGCGAAGGCGGCUUACUGGACCAUGACUGACGUUGAGGCUCGAAAGCGUGGGGAGCGAACAGGAUUAGAUACCCCCGUAC